UACGGGGGGGGCAAGCGUUGUUCGGAAUUACUGGGCGUAAAGGGCGCGUAGGUUGGUGGACAAGUCUCUCGUGAAAGCCCACGGCUCAACCGUGGAAUUGCGUGAGAUACUGUCUGUCUUGAGUCCGGGAGAGGAGGGUGGAAUUCCCAGUGUAGCGGUGAAAUGCGUAGAGAUUGGGAGGAACACCGGUGGCGAAGGCGGCUCUCUGGACCGGUACUGGCGCUGGGGCGCGAAAGCUAGGGGAGCAAACGGG
RNAcentral lists this ribosomal RNA (253 nucleotides) under uncultured bacterium. RNAcentral describes it as "partial 16S ribosomal RNA". It matches the Rfam family "Bacterial small subunit ribosomal RNA", at positions 524 to 776 of the family's 1533-position model. The record is from RNAcentral.